Molecule: long non-coding RNA, 473 nt
Organism: Alosa alosa (allis shad)
Lineage: Eukaryota; Metazoa; Chordata; Actinopteri; Clupeiformes; Clupeidae
Exons: 4
Source: RefSeq, a predicted model, not a curated record
GAGCUAUUAUUACCACACUGAUAGAUUAAUUUUGCCUUUUAUCUGCAGCCUACAUUAUGCACUGUGGAACGCUCUGCGGAUGGACAGCUGUGGAAUCCGCAAAGGUCAAGAAGGCUUUUGUUACGAGGGCUGGAAGUUCCAAAAAAUCCAUGAAGCUGGGGCAACACUGACCAGAGACCUGCAAUCCUUUGGAUGAAGAAGGCUACAUUUGUGAAUCAUUUCUUGUGUUGGUUAAACAGGAGACAUGAAGAGUUCUUGAUGCUUUUGGUUUGCCUCAUCCAUUAUGUCGGAAAAGAACAGGAGUGGGGAAUGCGCUGUUGACUGCAUGGCCAACUGGAGCACCCACAAGGCUCUUGUGAAGGAAGUCAACAAGCUCUUGUGCUUCAGAUGACAUGCUGUCCAUGCAUCUCAAAUUGAGAAGGAUGGAUGGAAAGAACUCUUUGACCAACCCCCAACUGAGAGAGCUGAGGUGG